This 1300-nucleotide ribosomal RNA is filed under the name metagenome. RNAcentral describes it as "bacterial SSU rRNA". It matches the Rfam family "Eukaryotic small subunit ribosomal RNA", at positions 627 to 1792 of the family's 1831-position model. The record is from RNAcentral.
CUCGUAGUUGAACCGAGGGGGCGGAGCGCGGUUAAAAAGCUUUCGGGUCUUCGCUUCUCGCGGGGGCUCGGAGGUCGCGGAUCCGUCUUCGAAUUUGCGGUGAAUUUACCAGCUCGGGGGGGAUUCCUUUCGCUCUAAAAAGGCGGGGGGAGUCUUCUUCUUGUUGGAUCGCAAAGUUUUACUUUGAAUAAAUUAGGGUGUUCAAAGCAGACGAAUACGUCUUGAAUAGAUUAGCAUGGGAUAAUAGAAUAAGACCUUCCUCCGCGAUCCGUCGCGGUUGGCUUAUAUUUGCUGGUUUCUUAGGCCAGGGUAAUGAUUAACAGGGACGGUUGGGGUCGCUCGUACUCGGUGGUGAGAGGUGAAAUUCUAAGACCCAUCGAAGACGAACAAGUGCGAAGGCAUUCGACAAGGAUGUUUUCUUUAAUCAAGAACGAAAGUUAUGGGAUCGAAGAUGAUCAGAUACCGUCGUAGUCAUAACCGUAAACUAUGUUGACUCGGGAUCUGGGGAUGUUACAUGGAUGACUCUCCAGGCACCGUGUGCGAAAGCACAAGUAUUCGAACUCCGGGGGGAGUAUGGUCGCAAGGCUGAAACUUAAAGGAAUUGACGGAAGGGCACCACCAGGUGUGGAAUCUGCGGCUUAAUUUGACCCAACACGGGGAAACUUACCCGGUCAGGACGCGAUGAGGAUUGACAGAUUGAUAGUUCUUUCUUGAUUUUGUGGAAGCCGGUGCAUGGCCGUUUUUAGUUGGUGGAGUGAUUUGUCUGGUUAAGUCCGAUAACGAACGAGACCUAACUCUAUUAAAUAGUGGUGCGAACAAGGGAGCUCUCGCGGCAGGCUCGGGUUCUCCCGGGUUUGUCGAGGUGGGGCUUCCGUUCAUUUGUUCGUAGCGAACGAUACUUCUUAGAGAGACACUUGGUCGAUAACAGCAGCCAAUGGAAGUUUUAGGCAAAAACAGGUCUGUGAUGCCCUAGAUGUCCGGGGCUGCACGCGCGUUACACUGAUGUGUUCAACAAGUAUUACAAAAUGACCUGGCCCGAAGGGGCUUGGGCAAUCUCGUAAUGCACAUCGUGAUGGGGAUCGUGCUUUGUAACUAUCGCACGUGAACGAGGAAUACCUAGUAAGGACAGGUCAUCAACCUGCCCUGAUUACGUCCCUGCCCUUUGUACACACCGCCCGUCGCUUCUGCCGAUUGAAUUACUCGAUGAGGACUCGGGAGGCGGGGCACGAUCCGGUUUUACCGCCGGUGACGUUUUGCCGAACCUGUUCGAAUCUCGUAGUUUAGAGGAAGAAGAAGUCGU